GAGACAGAGACACAGGCAGACAGAGGCAGAAACCCUGUGAGGAGGUGGACGGACCUAGCCGCCGCACCGGGCUCCCUGUCGCCGGCCCGGGCUCCCUGUCGCCGGCCCGGGCUCCCUGUCGCCGGCCCUGGCCCCACGGCCACCCCAGAGCAACAGAGACCACGAUUCACAGAUUUUUACACAAAUCUCAAGACCAACAUGCCUUAGGACCGACAAAGAAGAGUAGUCUGCAGCCUCCAGCGUUGCCCACCUGCCCAGCCUGCAGCAUCAAUAGCAGGCAUAAAGGUGACCAGGAUGGUGGCCUUCGAAAGUGCAAGAACAAAGUGGGCAGACAACAGGCAGCUUCCUCCUUCUGAGGCACGAGUGCAUGAAUUGCCUUCCCCCAGCACGAAGCUGAAUUAAAAUAUUCCUAGCAGAUAGUUCGGAUUGAUAAUCACCUCUACUGUGUUACUCUGGACAUGUCCACACAGCUGACUGGGAAAUAGAAGGGGAUGCUAACAGCUGCUCCAGCAGACAGGUAUUUCAGGGUCAAAGGCCAGCAGAGCUGUGCAUAUUCAGGAUUUUUACUGCCAGUGAAGGAGAUGGGUACUUUCUCAAAACUAAUAAUAAAAAUAGCAACAACAGUGAGAAGAAGAAGGAGCUGACAACAGAAAUGAAAAGGAACCUGCAAGAAGUGAAUUCUGGGUAGCACAACACUUGCAGAGCUGAUUUUAAUGUCUGACAGGUUGAGUUCACUAAUCUUUGCUAUUCAUAUUGACGUGAAACUUCAUACUGUUUUAGAGAUUUGUAUCUAUUAAGACAUGCAGCAGUGUUCCUACAACAUGGGAACAAGUUUGCUAGCACCUGCCGUUCUUCUUCCUCCGUGAUAAAAAUUGAUAUGAACUGUACUAAAUGCCUAACAGAUAAUUACUCUCAACACUCAAUAACAAAAGCUACAUCUUUAGAGCCUCCUUUAUCUUUAAAAAAUAACAAAAAAGCCCAAGCCCAAAACUCACUAACAAGACAAAACCUUUUUCCUCCCAUUUUCCUCCCUCUCUUUCGUUUCUUUGAUUACUUGGAGAUUUGUAAGCAAACUAAGUUUAGUUUCGGGACCCUUGGGGCAGUAUCUCUUAGUUCCCUGUCAGGCUGAGUUGCAAAAUAAUCAAACCUGCUCUUGUGUUGGCUUGGUGGAAGUGUCAGGACAUGAGGAGUGCAAUGCUUUGCUCUUGCUGUGAAGCUUCGAUGACAAAAGUUUUAUCAGAAGCUGACUGUAUUUAGGAUUAUGAAUAUGCAAUGACUCUCAUUAGUAUUGAAGCACAGGAGCAUGGGCUGACAUCCCCCGCCACUUUUAGCUGCUGCAGAGUUGCCUAAUGAAUUGUCUUGCUCUUUCACUUGCACAGACUUUGCUGUUAUGGUUCCCCACUCCAAGGGGAGUUGCCCGGUUUGAGAAUACUAUUGACUGCAGAAAUUAAUUGCCAAGAACUGCUCUUGAUUUUGUUAAACAGUGUUUAAAUGGUGUUUAAAUUGCUGAAACAGAAAACCAUUUAACUCUACAGGAGACAAAGUCAUCACAGGUGAGAGGACCUGCGUGUCCAUAUGCAUAGCCAUGCACAAGCAUACAGGUGUGGUGCAGGUAUGCAUACGGUCUUGUAAUCAUACCUAUACAAAUAAACAUAUCUAUGUGUAGCAGUGACGGACAUCAGAAACCUGACAUCCUGCUGAUUUAUCUAUUAUUCUUCCAACUAGAACAAAUGGGAUAAUGGAAAGUUCUCCAAAUGAGUGGGACUCCAAUACAUUUCUAUUUAAUCAACCAGUUAAUACUCUUUUUUUUUCUUCUGGGACCCUGCCAAACACUUUUCAGCUCACACAUCUGCAAUCUUUAUGAAUAAGUUUCUGACAAGGAUGUUUCCAACAAAUGAUUAAGAUAUCUGGCUUGAUUUGUCAUAUUUGAGAUGCAUAAGCUUUCAAAAACAAGUAGAAAUGACCCUUUUUUUCCCCAAAUGGUUCAAUUAAGUACUUUUUUCCUGAUUCAUCUGAAAUUUCUUCUGGCAUAAAAGGAGCUUUUGUGGCUCUCUGCAGAGAGUGAAGGAUAGAGGGAAUUGAAAUGGAUAAUGUAUUCCAAGAAGCGUAAGUAGUAUUCUGAAAGGUGUGCAAAUAAUAAAGGAUAUGAGAUUCUUCCAAGAAGAUGUCAGGCCUGCAAGACUCUUUAUCCAUUUAAUCAGUAAUGGAAAUGAUCCCAGUGCGAGAAGGAAGAUCUGUUUAAUUUUUAUUGUGAUUUUGGCACUGUUGCUCUAACACGAGCUUGGCUUACCUCUUGACCCAACCCCAGGAGUGUCUGUUCUCAUCAGCUGCAGAAAAAAUAAAGAACAUCUACAUGUUGGGAGUAUCAAAUACAAGAGCAGUUUAAAAUAAAUGCAGUUCUGACAAAAGUGGCUCAAGUAUCAUACAUCAAACACUUGUUACCUCUCUUGGCCUUAGUGAUUGCAUGUGACUAAGAAAGAGUGAGUGAUAAAAUCUGAAGAAAGAUGAAACCAAUCCGGGGCUUUUUAAAGCUCAUCAAUCAUUCUGUGCAGCCAUGGCAUUAUUAGUUCCAGUAAGCCUUGUUCUCCCAUUUUAUGGACAUCAUAAACCCCCCACCUCUAGACCAAUGCUACCUUGGGAAAUCAUUUUCAUAGGCAGCAUCUUAGUGUGGGCCAAUCAGAUCUAAUCACAUAACAAGCUACUGAAUUAUUCAACGUUCUUCCUAAUUUUGCAUUCUUCCUGCACUUUGCUGUCACUGCAGGGUUUUAAAAGUAUGUGUUUUUACAAUAUUUAUUAAGAAUAUAACCAUACACAGGAAUUUUGUUUUCUCUAUGUCUUUCAAUAAUCGUUUGUUCCCUUAGAUUGUUGCAGUAUAUACAUUACUAUAUAGAGAAUACUUAAAAAAACAAAAAGAAAAAGAAACCCACAAUGUGGCACUUGGCUUUAAACUCUUUCAGCUUUUAAAAGAUCUAAUGUAAAGACAACAAUUGUGAAACAAUUGAGUUCAAACAUAAAACAUUCAGAUUUACUGAGCAAACUGUAACCAGCAUGUCUCUUAGCUGCUGCUAUGAAUACAGGGCUCACAUUGUAUAUGAAAAUAUUUCAGUUUUAAUUGCAAAUCUGUGCAGAGAUGAUUUGGGGUCUGUAAUUAGCACACAAAUUCCAGACUUUGUGACUGCUGUGAAAACACACAUUAUUUAUGGAACUAUUAUCUAAAUAUAAUUCAGUGUUUUUUGCUUUCAACAACUACUAUAAAAGUCUGAUUUAAUAAAAUGUGAAAA
This is a long non-coding RNA of Strigops habroptila (Kakapo), 3281 nucleotides long. Ensembl lists it as uncharacterized. The record is from Ensembl. Lineage: Eukaryota; Metazoa; Chordata; Aves; Psittaciformes; Psittacidae.